This 465-nucleotide ribosomal RNA is filed under the name uncultured bacterium. Its description in RNAcentral is "partial 16S ribosomal RNA". It matches the Rfam family "Bacterial small subunit ribosomal RNA", at positions 28 to 507 of the family's 1533-position model. The record is from RNAcentral.
GACGAACGCUGGCGGCGUGCUUAACACAUGCAAGUCGAACGGAAAGGCCCUGCUUGCAGGGUACUCGAGUGGCGAACGGGUGAGUAACACGUGGGUGAUCUGCCCUGCACUUCGGGAUAAGCCUGGGAAACUGGGUCUAAUACCGGAUAGGAGCCAUUUUUAGUGUGAUGGUUGGAAAGUUUUUUCGGUGUAGGAUGAGCUCGCGGCCUAUCAGCUUGUUGGUGGGGUAAUGGCCUACCAAGGCGGCGACGGGUAGCCGGCCUGAGAGGGUGGACGGCCACAUUGGGACUGAGAUACGGCCCAGACUCCUACGGGAGGCAGCAGUGGGGAAUAUUGCACAAUGGGUGCAAGCCUGAUGCAGCGACGCCGCGUGGGGGAUGACGGCCUUCGGGUUGUAAACUCCUUCCGCUAGGGACGAAGCUUUUUGUGACGGUACCUAGAGAAGAAGCACCGGCUAACUACGUG